This 2940-nucleotide ribosomal RNA is filed under the name Priestia aryabhattai. Its description in RNAcentral is "bacterial LSU rRNA". It matches the Rfam family "Bacterial large subunit ribosomal RNA". The record is from RNAcentral. Lineage: Bacteria; Bacillati; Bacillota; Bacilli; Caryophanales; Bacillaceae.
AUGGUUAAGUUAGAAAGGGCGCACGGUGAAUGCCUUGGCACUAGGAGCCGAUGAAGGACGGGACUAACACCGAUAUGCUUCGGGGAGCUGUAAGUGAGCUUUGAUCCGGAGAUUUCCGAAUGGGGAAACCCACUGUUCGUAAUGGAACAGUAUCUUUAUCUGAAUACAUAGGAUAUUGAAGGCAGACCCGGGGAACUGAAACAUCUAAGUACCCGGAGGAAGAGAAAGCAAAUGCGAUUUCCUGAGUAGCGGCGAGCGAAACGGAAUUAGCCCAAACCAAGAGGCUUGCCUCUUGGGGUUGUAGGACACUCUAUACGGAGUUACAAAGGAACGAAGUAAAUGAAGCGACCUGGAAAGGUCCGUCGAAGAAGGUAACAACCCUGUAGUUGAAACUUCGUUCCCUCUUGAGUGGAUCCUGAGUACGGCGGAACACGUGAAAUUCCGUCGGAAGCUGGGAGGACCAUCUCCCAAGGCUAAAUACUACCUAGUGACCGAUAGUGAACCAGUACCGUGAGGGAAAGGUGAAAAGCACCCCGGAAGGGGAGUGAAAGAGAUCCUGAAACCGUGUGCCUACAAGUAGUCAGAGCCCGUUAAUGGGUGAUGGCGUGCCUUUUGUAGAAUGAACCGGCGAGUUACGAUCCCAUGCAAGGUUAAGCUGAUAAGGCGGAGCCGUAGCGAAAGCGAGUCUGAAUAGGGCGUUUAGUAUGUGGUUGUAGACCCGAAACCAGGUGAUCUACCCAUGUCCAGGGUGAAGUUCAGGUAACACUGAAUGGAGGCCCGAACCCACGCACGUUGAAAAGUGCGGGGAUGAGGUGUGGGUAGCGGAGAAAUUCCAAUCGAACCUGGAGAUAGCUGGUUCUCUCCGAAAUAGCUUUAGGGCUAGCCUCAUGUUGUGAGAGUCUUGGAGGUAGAGCACUGAUUGGACUAGGGGCCCCCAACGGGUUACCGAAUUCAGUCAAACUCCGAAUGCCAAAGACUUAUCCAUGGGAGUCAGACUGCGAGUGAUAAGAUCCGUAGUCAAAAGGGAAACAGCCCAGACCACCAGCUAAGGUCCCCAAGUAUACGUUAAGUGGAAAAGGAUGUGGAGUUGCUUAGACAACCAGGAUGUUGGCUUAGAAGCAGCCACCAUUUAAAGAGUGCGUAAUAGCUCACUGGUCGAGUGACUCUGCGCCGAAAAUGUACCGGGGCUAAACGUAUCACCGAAGCUGUGGAUUGACAUCUUUGAUGUCAGUGGUAGGAGAGCGUUCUAAGUGCAGCGAAGUCAGACCGUAAGGACUGGUGGAGCGCUUAGAAGUGAGAAUGCCGGUAUGAGUAGCGAAAGACAAGUGAGAAUCUUGUCCACCGAAUGCCUAAGGUUUCCUGAGGAAGGCUCGUCCGCUCAGGGUUAGUCGGGACCUAAGCCGAGGCUGAAAAGCGUAGGCGAUGGCCAACAGGUUGAUAUUCCUGUACCACCUCCCCGCCGUUUGAGUAAUGGGGGGACGCAGUAGGAUAGGGUAAGCGCGCUGCUGGAUAUGCGCGUUCAAGCAGUUAGGCUGAUGAGUAGGCAAAUCCGCUCAUCAUAAAGGCUGAGCUGUGAUGACGAGGGAAUUAUAGUACCGAAGUUCCUGAUUCCACACUGCCAAGAAAAGCCUCUAGCGAGGCGGGAGGUGCCCGUACCGCAAACCGACACAGGUAGGCGAGGAGAGAAUCCUAAGGUGAUCGAGAGAACUCUCGUUAAGGAACUCGGCAAAAUGACCCCGUAACUUCGGGAGAAGGGGUGCUCUGGUAGGGUGUAUAGCCCGAGAGAGCCGCAGUGAAUAGGCCCAGGCGACUGUUUAGCAAAAACACAGGUCUCUGCGAAGCCGCAAGGCGAAGUAUAGGGGCUGACGCCUGCCCGGUGCUGGAAGGUUAAGAGGAGGGGUUAUCCUUUGGGAGAAGCUCUGAAUCGAAGCCCCAGUAAACGGCGGCCGUAACUAUAACGGUCCUAAGGUAGCGAAAUUCCUUGUCGGGUAAGUUCCGACCCGCACGAAAGGCGUAACGAUCUGGGCACUGUCUCAACGAGAGACUCGGUGAAAUUAUAGUACCUGUGAAGAUGCAGGUUACCCGCGACAGGACGGAAAGACCCCGUGGAGCUUUACUGUAGCCUGAUAUUGAAUUUUGGUACAGCUUGUACAGGAUAGGUAGGAGCCUGAGAAGCCGGAGCGCUAGCUUCGGUGGAGGCGUCGGUGGGAUACUACCCUGGCUGUAUUGAAAUUCUAACCCGCGGCCCUGAUCGGGCCGGGAGACAGUGUCAGGUGGGCAGUUUGACUGGGGCGGUCGCCUCCUAAAAUGUAACGGAGGCGCCCAAAGGUUCCCUCAGAAUGGUUGGAAAUCAUUCGUAGAGUGUAAAGGCACAAGGGAGCUUGACUGCGAGACCUACAAGUCGAGCAGGGACGAAAGUCGGGCUUAGUGAUCCGGUGGUUCCGCAUGGAAGGGCCAUCGCUCAACGGAUAAAAGCUACCCCGGGGAUAACAGGCUUAUCUCCCCCAAGAGUCCACAUCGACGGGGAGGUUUGGCACCUCGAUGUCGGCUCAUCGCAUCCUGGGGCUGUAGUCGGUCCCAAGGGUUGGGCUGUUCGCCCAUUAAAGCGGUACGCGAGCUGGGUUCAGAACGUCGUGAGACAGUUCGGUCCCUAUCCGUCGUGGGCGUAGGAAAUUUGAGAGGAGCUGUCCUUAGUACGAGAGGACCGGGAUGGACACACCGCUGGUGUACCAGUUGUCUUGCCAAAGGCAUCGCUGGGUAGCUAUGUGUGGACGGGAUAAGUGCUGAAAGCAUCUAAGCAUGAAGCCCCCCUCAAGAUGAGAUUUCCCAUAGCGCAAGCUAGUAAGAUCCCUGAAAGAUGAUCAGGUUGAUAGGUCAGAGGUGGAAGCGUGGCGACAUGUGUAGCUGACUGAUACUAAUCGAUCGAGGACUUAACCAAAC